This is a long non-coding RNA of Tachysurus fulvidraco (yellow catfish), 345 nucleotides long. RefSeq lists it as uncharacterized. The record is from RefSeq and is a predicted model, not a curated record. NCBI's taxonomy places the organism in Eukaryota, Metazoa, Chordata, Actinopteri, Siluriformes, Bagridae. The transcript has 5 exons.
CACGUAAGUCUGAGCCUGAGGCAGUCUAUGAGGAGAUCAACCACAGAUACAUGGCUAGAAGAAGCUUCACACAAAGAGGAAGUCUCCUCUCUGAAGAACAGCAUUCUGGGUAUGAGCAUGUGGAUGAUGAGCUUCUCUCAGUAAAGUCUGGGAUCAAAGAAAAGGCUGAGUAUUAUGAUGAUGUCAUGGACACCAGUGACAUCAUAAGUGGGUGAUCCAGGAAGAGUCGACCCACCAGAGGACUACGAUGAUGCCGUCACUGCUGGACCCAUCCCUGAUAACGUGGAUGAGGAUGAAGCUGAGAAUUAUGAUGACGCCAUUACAGCUGAUCAGAAGUCAGUUAUA